GAUGAACGCUGGCGGCGUGCUUAACACAUGCAAGUCGAACGGUGAAGCUCCAGCUUGCUGGAGUGGAUCAGUGGCGAACGGGUGAGUAACACGUGAGCAACCUGCCCCUGACUCUGGGAUAACAGCCGGAAACGGCUGCUAAUACCGGAUAUGCACCAUGAACGCAUGUUCUGUGGUGGGAAAGAUUUUUCGGUUGGGGAUGGGCUCGCGGCCUAUCAGCUUGUUGGUGAGGUAAUGGCUCACCAAGGCGUCGACGGGUAGCUGGCCUGAGAGGGUGACCGGCCACACUGGGAUUGAGACACGGGCCAGACUGCUACGGGAGGCAGCAGUGGGGAAUAUUGCACGAUGGGCGAAAUCCUGAUGCAGCAACGCCGCGUGAGGGAUGACGGCCUUCGGGUUGUAAACCUCUUUUAGCAGGGAAGAAGCGAGAGUGACGGUACCUGCAGAAAAAGCGCCGGCUAACUACGUG
This 469-nucleotide ribosomal RNA is filed under the name uncultured bacterium. Its description in RNAcentral is "partial 16S ribosomal RNA". It matches the Rfam family "Bacterial small subunit ribosomal RNA", at positions 28 to 507 of the family's 1533-position model. The record is from RNAcentral.